CCUACGUGUGGCAGCAGUGGGGAAUAUUGGGCAAUGGGCGCAAGCCUGACCCAGCGACGCCGCGUGAAGGAAGAAGGCUUUCGGGUUGUAAACUUCUUUUCUGAGGGACGAAGAAAGUGACGGUACCUCAUGAAUAAGCCACGGCUAACUACGUGCCUGCAGCCGCGGUAAUACGUAGGUGGCAAGCGUUAUCCGGAUUUAUUGGGUGUAAAGGGCGUGUAGGCGGGAAAGCAAGUCAGAUGGGAAAACUCAGGGCUCAACCCUGAGCCUGCAUUUGAAACUGGUUUUCGUGAGUGCUGGAGAGGCAAUCGGAAUUCCGGGUGUAGCGGGGAAAUGCGUAGAUAUACGGAGGAACACCAGUGGCGAAGGCGGAUUGCUGGACAGUAACUGACGCUGAGGCGCGAAAGCGUGGGGAGCAAACAGGAUUAGAUACCCGGGUAGUC
This 443-nucleotide ribosomal RNA is filed under the name uncultured bacterium. Its description in RNAcentral is "partial 16S ribosomal RNA". It matches the Rfam family "Bacterial small subunit ribosomal RNA", at positions 338 to 795 of the family's 1533-position model. The record is from RNAcentral.